ACUAAAUAAAAUAAAUGUGCAUGUUGCUGGAGUGGAGACUCUUAAAGUGGUUAGACAAGUUUUUCCACUUCUUUGACUGUUGGACUAGUGUAGACACUUCCGUAUACAAGAACAGAGUAGCCAGCAAAAGCCAGCCAGUGCAUUAAAAAUGUGAUCAAGUUUGGUGACAAAAGAUAACCAAGCAUCUUAUUGUGUUUCUUCGUUGUGCACACUGUUCAAGAAAGUAGGCCUACACAUACACAGUGACAUUUCCUGCCCUUAAGGGUGUGACAGAUACUGAUGUAACCCAACUGUUGCAGUCUUUUUGUCUGUAAUGUUCGCUGAUCAUAAAACACACCUGAAACCUAAUGUGACCUUUUCGGAAAGUCAAAAGGUUUAAUCCUGUAAUUGUGAUAUUGUGUCUGUAAAGGAAAUACAUCUCACAGAGGAUUCCAUUCAUUAUCUGCAAGUAGAUAGUGCAAAUAGUUGACAGCAAGACUAUCUUUCUACCAGAAAGAUAUCAUUUUUAAAAGUUAAAAUGUGGCUCGAAAUUUAAUUGCAUGUGUUAUGUAUUGGGGGUUGCUCAGACCUACACAAGAGCAGACAGCCCACUGUCACACAUACAAACAUCCUCCAUCCAUAAGGGGCGCCAGCUACUUCCGAUCUUAUGGUGUGAUUGACUAUAAGACGUGCGGAAUGGCAGUCAAUCGGGGAAGGCUCAGUGAACUGGGGAACUCAGCUGCUGGGCCGAGGCGGUGAACCUCCCAGCUGCUUCUCCGUGUGAUAUAUGAACUGUGCACUUGGACUGAUAUUCUGUUUGGUUUAGUGGUGGUUUGGUUUCAUUUGGGGCCCGUUUUCGUUUGUUUUUUUGGUUGUUUCCGUCCUGCAUCACCGUGGGGUUUCCCGCACGGUGGACACCAAGCGCGAGCUGGACGCCUUGGAGAGGCAAGAACGAGGUGGCCCGACGAAAAGAUGUAGUUCUGCUGAAAACUGAAGAAGGGCAGCCCUCAGGUCAAUGGUCCCAAACAAAGCAGCAGAAGAAAUCCGCUACGUGCCAAAACCGGACUUGACAAUUCCAGGCCUCAUGACCCCACAGCAUGGCAUGACAGACAAAAAGAUGGAGCUCUUCACCUCUGGGAAUAUUUCAUUCAGCAUGCAAACAGAGAGAAUGGGCUACUAUUUGGGAGAAAGCAUUAAGGUUGUGUUAGAGGUUCAGAACAGCUCGUCUCGCGCCCUCAAACCCAAGUACAGUCUCUACGAGAAGCUCACUUACUAUGCAUCUGGCUGAAGUGAGGUAGGCACCCAUGUGAUACAGAAAGAUGAUGGAGAGCCCAUUCCACCUGACACAAAACAAACCCUCACCAAAGUCCUCACCAUCCCAACAAGUGCCAACGUAUACAUCCUUAACUGUAGGUCUUGAAAGUUGAGCAUAACCUCAAGGUCUAUCUUGAUGUACCUUAUGCCGCUGACCCAGAGAUUGUGGUUCCAAUUGUCAUUCUGCCGAAUCUCCUAACCAGGGACCUGUCAGCUCCUCCACAACCCAAUACUGGGUUUGAGGGUCAUUCCAACCCAGGCCAAGCAGGAUGGGUCAGCACUCCCUACACUGCUCCUCCACCUGCCUAUGCAUCCUAAGGGGGCUUAUCCCCCAUAUCCGAAUUAACCUUGAAAAUCUUAAAGAUUUAGCAUGCUGGAUAAACACUUGGCAUUGUGAAUAUUUCCAUUAUCAGUUAUCCUAUUUUCUUCCAUAUCAUGGGUUGAUGAAGGUUGUACAUUUUGAUAAGACUAACUAAAGUUAUAUAUGAACCA
Molecule: long non-coding RNA, 1785 nt
Organism: Alosa sapidissima (American shad)
Lineage: Eukaryota; Metazoa; Chordata; Actinopteri; Clupeiformes; Clupeidae
Exons: 6
Source: RefSeq, a predicted model, not a curated record